GUAGGGAAUAUUGCGCAAUGGACGAAAGUCUGACGCAGCGACGCCGCGUGAGUGAUGAAGGCCUUAGGGUCGUAAAGCUCUGUUGAAUGGGAAGAAAAAAAUGACGGUACCAUUCGAGGAAGGACCGGCUAACUUCGUGCCAGCAGCCGCGGUAAUACGAGGGGUCCUAGCGUUGUUCGGAAUCAUUGGGCGGAAAGGGGGUGUAGGUGGCCAUGUAAGUCAGGGGUGAAAGCACCGGGCUCAACCCGGGAAGUGCACUUGAUACUGCGUGGCUUGAGUACCGAAGAGGGUAGUGGAAUUCCAGGUGUAGUGGUGAAAUACGUAGAUAUCUGGAGGAACACCGGUGGCGAAGGCGGCUACCUGGUCGAGUACUGACACUGAGACACGAAAGCAUGGGGAUCAAACAGGAUUAGAUACCCUGGUAGUCC
RNAcentral lists this ribosomal RNA (428 nucleotides) under uncultured bacterium. RNAcentral's name for it is "partial 16S ribosomal RNA". It matches the Rfam family "Bacterial small subunit ribosomal RNA", at positions 354 to 796 of the family's 1533-position model. The record is from RNAcentral.